RNAcentral lists this ribosomal RNA (468 nucleotides) under uncultured bacterium. RNAcentral describes it as "partial 16S ribosomal RNA". It matches the Rfam family "Bacterial small subunit ribosomal RNA", at positions 28 to 507 of the family's 1533-position model. The record is from RNAcentral.
GACGAACGCUGGCGGCGUGCUUAACACAUGCAAGUCGAACGGAAAGGCCCUGCUUUUGUGGGGUGCUCGAGUGGCGAACGGGUGAGUAACACGUGAGUAACCUGCCCUUGACUUUGGGAUAACUUCAGGAAACUGGGGCUAAUACCGGAUAGGAGCUCCUGCUGCUUGGUGGGGGUUGGAAAGUUUCGGCGGUUGGGGAUGGACUCGCGGCUUAUCAGCUGGUUGGUGGGGUAGUGGCUUACCAAGGCUUUGACGGGUAGCAGGCCUGAGAGGGUGACCGGCCACAUUGGGACUGAGAUACGGCCCAGACUCCUACGGGAGGCAGCAGUGGGGAAUAUUGCACAAUGGGCGGAAGCCUGAUGCAGCAACGCCGCGUGCGGGAUGACGGCCUUCGGGUUGUAAACCGCUUUCGCCUGUGACGAAGCGUGAGUGACGGUAAUGGGUAAAGAAGCACCGGCUAACUACGUG